Molecule: non-coding RNA, 2475 nt
Organism: Zonotrichia albicollis (white-throated sparrow)
Lineage: Eukaryota; Metazoa; Chordata; Aves; Passeriformes; Passerellidae
Source: RefSeq, a predicted model, not a curated record
CGACACCUGUGACACGAGGAGGUAAAGCAAAUUCAGUGAAGCUACUAAACUGAUAUUUUAUAAACCCAGUAACUUCCCAGCUAACAAGUCCACCCAAAACACGGGCAGGUCAGUGCUGUGCUCAGGGAGCUGCAGAACACUGGACCAAACGACAGCUGGUACCUACCAUCGUUCUGGUUGAUGGAAGACUUGUUACCAGGGACCAGGGGGUUGACUGCUGUCAGGAUGAAUUUGGGAACUGCAGAGACAAAAGGUAAAUUGUGUUCGGUGAGUUUUAAGAGCCCUCUCCCCAGUUAAUUAUGAAUCCCACUGCUAACCCUGGGUUUGUUAACUGGGUUUCUGAGAGUGGAAUUGAAGGUUGGACUCACUCUUGGAGCUCUUUUCCAUGACUGUGUGGUUCGUGUGCAGCCAGGGCAGCUCUGGGCUGUGACUGGAGUCACACCCUGCCUGCUGCAGGAACAUCUCCAUGCAGCCUGGCAAGCUGCCCCUUGUCCUCAGCCCCCAGGGGUGUGCCAGCCAUGGAUGGAGACAAAACUGGCCUCUAAAUUCAGCACAAACUGGGCUACAGCCAAUGCUAAGUUGCAUCUAGAUACUGGGUUUGGAUGAGGAUAAUUCACUGUCAUUCUAAGAUAAAUGCUGAAGUUUUGUGUGAUGUCAUUUGUGAAGCUCUGAGAUGGACAGUUGCUGAGGAAGGUGGGGAGGAUGGGAAUCAAUGAGCUGCAUCUUUCUCAUUGCAUUAUUUUAUUCCCUUGAUAAGUGUCCGGUCUUCUCCAAGUAAUUAAAAGAACUACAAGGAGGUGCCUUGUAGAGACAUUGAGAGUUCCCAUAUUCUGUAAUGGAUGAGUGACCCCUUCAGCCACCCAGACCUUGGCACCUGUUCCUGUGCUAUGGGAAGGCUGAUUGAUUGAUUGAUUUUCAGACUGACAGGGGGGUAAAAAAGGGAGAAAUUUCAAGUAUGACACUCACCUCUAUCCCACAUAGAAACACUUGCCAAGAAAUAGUGUUGAGAGAGUUAAACGGAACAGAGGAGACUGGGGUUUGCAGCUUAGCAUAGUUUUCACUUGGAAAACAGCUAAAAAUAGCACUUCUUUCUGAGCACAACUUUUCUUUCUGUGUGGGCUCAAAGUCAGAGCUGCUUCCUUUCCUGAUGAAGGAAUCCUUCUGGGAGUCCUCGCUCCUGUUUGCAGUGGAGCCAACAGAUGCAGGGGUGCAUACGAAGGAUGCAGAAAGAGUCUCAUCAAGCCCCAAACAGGUGCCCAAUGUAAGGUCUCAAAGUUCCAUUCAGGAUGUGUUGGAAAAAAUGAGCACAUCCCUGUAGCUCUCCAUCUGUGCCAUCUCACAUCUAGAGGUGAAAUGCUGUUUCCAAGUCAGCCCUGGGUUACUGAGAUGACUCAACUGGAUAUCCAAGUUCAGUUCAAGUCAGCACCCCACACAGUGCAGCUUUCUGUGUAUGACAGAUGUUUGACUCCAAGCUUCUGAGGCCAGGGGCUCUGAAGGCCUGGAAUGUCAUUCCUGAGGAUUAAAGCAGUCCCUACAGUCAAGGAUGGCCUCCUGACACCUGCAACUGCAGAAGCUCCCCUGUGCCUCUGGAGGAAGGACAAACACUGCUUGCAGAGAUACGCCAAAGGUUCCCUGAAUCUGUGUGAAUAGAAGAGAAGGUUUGAGACUGAGUUCUUGCCGUUUAAUGUUUGAAAAUGGGGCAGAUGUGUGAUUUUUGGAGUAAACUCCCUGACACCAGUACUAAAUCAGUCCUAUACCUGGGCAGAGCCAUCAGAGACACUGGGCUGAUCUGUCUGGCAAGGGCUCGUGGGGUGCUUUGGACAUGGAUUUUAGGACAGAGCUCUUUGACUUUGCAGAGGCCUGAAAUCCCAAUAGCUGUGUGUCCCAAGAGAGUGCUGGGAAGGCAGGGAAGGGCUGACCUAAAGCAGUGAGUAGUUCUGAUUAACUAAACUCCGCAGUUUUAGUUUCCCUCCCUGGCAAUUCCAGAUGAGUAAGGAUAUAAUUGGAUGGAUGUUUUAGGCUUACUUUGGCAAGUACAAAACCAACUGGAGAGUAUCAGGAGGAGUUGUCAAUUGAUUAAUAAAUUCAUAGACUGGGAGCACAAAAGAAAACUGGCAAACUGAAUUAUGUUUUCUAUAGAAUUCCCUGCCCUGGGAGCUACUCUUGGUGCCCUAUAAAGCCAGGAGGAUGCUGUGCUGAUGGUUUUCUACAUAUUCAGUGAUAUGGCAGGUGUAUUUUUUCAUUUUGCCUUUGCUCAUGUUUCUGUGGGACUGAAUAGCCUCUUAUCAUCUCUAUCCAUGUUAGAUUUCUAUUUAUCAUUACAGCCUGCAGUUCUUGGCAGGCCAGCUUGGGAGAGCCCCCAAGGCUUGCCUGGUGUCACAGGUCAGUAAAUGCAAACCGGGGCUGCUUCUUCUGCAGGACAGGACACACGUUACCUGGAAAGUGUUAUAACUUAAUAAACUUAUUUAAAACUUC